GAAGAAAGUUGAUUUGAGCAGAUGUUUCCCAACCAGCUGCUGAGUGGUCUAGCCCCUGGGCUGAAGGGUAUCUGAGGGCAGCGGGAUCUGGAAGGCUCUGGAGCCCUUCCAGCUGGCAGGCAAUAAUUCAGAGCUCACACAAAGAGCCAGGGUGAGUCACUAGUCUGCUGAUUAGGCUGCUCUCCUGGGAGGGAGGCACCUGGAUCCCAGACCCAGGAAAGCGAUUGCUCCAGGCUAGUUUUGGCAGAAGAGCUUGUUCCUCAAAAGAAGCAAGAUCUUUCAAAGGGCAGAUCUUGCAGAAGAAUGGACAGAUGAUGGAGUUUUACCUCACUGCUGUUGGAGUUUUGAAGUUGAAGUCAAUGAAAGUGUGGCAGCGGCUGAAGGAAGAUGAGAGCUGUGGGGAACCGGGAAAGUUACCAUCUCUGUAAGUGGGACUUAAUGUGUUAGGGGUGAUGAAGCCUCUGAUAAUUUCUGUAUGCUUGGAAGCGAAGAAAAAAAAAAGACUAAAAGCUGCAGAGAAUAAAGACCUAAUUAUCUCUGUCUUCUAAGCCUCG
Molecule: long non-coding RNA, 554 nt
Filed under: Junco hyemalis (dark-eyed junco)
Lineage: Eukaryota; Metazoa; Chordata; Aves; Passeriformes; Passerellidae
Description: lncRNA (ENSJHYG00000000080.1)
Source: RNAcentral